UACGUAGGGUGCAAGCGUUAAUCGGAAUUACUGGGCGUAAAGCGUGCGCAGGCGGCUAUGCAAGACAGAUGUGAAAUCCCCGGGCUCAACCUGGGAACUGCAUUUGUGACUGCAUUGCUAGAGUACGGUAGAGGGGGAUGGAAUUCCGCGUGUAGCAGUGAAAUGCGUAGAUAUGCGGAGGAACACCGAUGGCGAAGGCAAUCCCCUGGACCUGUACUGACGCUCAUGCACGAAAGCGUGGGGAGCAAACAGG
RNAcentral lists this ribosomal RNA (253 nucleotides) under uncultured bacterium. RNAcentral describes it as "partial 16S ribosomal RNA". It matches the Rfam family "Bacterial small subunit ribosomal RNA", at positions 524 to 776 of the family's 1533-position model. The record is from RNAcentral.